UACAGAGGGUGCGAGCGUUAAUCGGAAUUACUGGGCGUAAAGGGUGCGUAGGUGGUUUUGUAAGUAACAUGUGAAAGUCCUGAGCUUAACUUGGGGAUUGCGUGUUAAACUGCAGAGCUAGAGUGUUGUAGAGGGUGGCGGAAUUUCCGGUGUAGCGGUGAAAUGCGUAGAUAUCGGAAGGAACAUCAGUGGCGAAGGCAGGUCUCUGGGCCACUACUGACGCUGAGAAGCGAAAGCAUGGGGAGCGAACAGG
This 253-nucleotide ribosomal RNA is filed under the name uncultured bacterium. Its description in RNAcentral is "partial 16S ribosomal RNA". It matches the Rfam family "Bacterial small subunit ribosomal RNA", at positions 524 to 776 of the family's 1533-position model. The record is from RNAcentral.